GUUUUGUUGGUUUUUUGUUUUGUUUUGUUUUUGCAUAGUUUUCACUAUUAAACAAACUUUGAGCAAAGUAUUUUGUUUGCACAUAUGUUUCCAUUACUGAAAUUUUGUUCAUUAUCACUAUGCAAUAAUACCAUUUGUUAAUGCAUGAAGUAUCGUGAAAUAAAAAUUAAUAACAUUGUUAACAGCAUUUAUUAGUGAUGAAUGUUAAAGUUUAUUUAUAAAUAAAAAAAUGUUUUUUUCAUUGCUAAUUCAUGCUUGGUCAAAUUAUGUGAACUAAUGUGAUUUUAUAAUUUGAAGAUGUGGUAUUAUAUGUAGAAAUUAAAAUGAACCUAGAUUAAUAAAUGCUGUGAAAGUAUUUCCUUGUUAAGUUAUUGAUACCGAAUGCGUUAACUAAUGUUAACAAAGCAUUCCUUGAAAAAAUACAUAAAAGUUACACAAAACAGAAAUAUUUAUGUAUUUUGAGGUUUUUCAUACAUGCUGACAAAGUGUUUGUUUGUGCAGAAGAUUUUUAUCUGAAAUAUCAUCCAUAUUUUAAUAAAUAAUCCAGUACAGGGUCAGUUUUUGAGUACUAUCAGCUCCAAUAGGAAUAUGACACAAGAGUGUUACCACUUUACUGAAUUGCACAGCUGCAUUUCAACUGCAGGUGUCAGACCAAGAGCAUGAUUUUGAUGGUGAUAUUUUUAAUUCAACAGUCCAAAAAAAUAAGAGGUCAUUAUGAAGUAAAUUGUGUUUCUGACCAAAUUUUGUUCUUUGUGCUUUGCAUGCCACCAAGCACAACUGGGAAUAACUGGAGCAAAACGUUGCUGUGCUUUUACGCUGAAUAUCAACACUUUUGUAAAAUAAGUGUUGUAAAGGACUGUGAUAACAAACAAUGGACAGUGAAUGCUAUUGGUGGGCUUUUUAAUUGACAGUUGAAACUACGAAUCAGUACAGCUUUAGCGUCAUCGGAAAGUAGUUCCGCCAAAGGAUAUAGAAGUGUGUUGCAUCAGAAAGUUUAGUGCGGAGCUAAUGAGUGUUCUCCAAAAGUUUAUUUCAAGUGUGUGCGUGCAGCUAGAAAACCACACAUACCCAUCUACAGUGGAGAAUAAAAAUUAAAGAAGAAACAUCAGAGUCAUUGCAUUCUAACCGAAUGUGCCAUAGUGAUUGCAAACCUUUACUAACCAGCCCCAAAUAAAUACCUCAAAACAUAUGGUCCUUCGAGCCGGAUUGCAAUUGCUGUGGAAUUGGUAAAAAUGUCUUCUGACCAAAGGAGUAGAGAAGGAAGGCCUGCUGAUGUGCGUCCUAAACGACAAGUGCGACCACCAGCCUGGUUGAAAGAUUAUGAUGUUUCUCUCCCGCACUAUAAUGAAUCUUCACCUGUUGUUCAAACUACACCUUUCACCACAGAGGAACAGGAGCCUUAUCGUAUUGAGAGGGUAGCCGAGAUGACCCCCCUCACUCAUCACACACUUCGACACUUCGACACUUCGACACUUCUACUGGACUCAGGCAGAGGCCGUUUACCCAUUCUGGCCAGGUGGAACAGAUGUAUAAGAGCACACCUGUACCUCACCACAGUGUAUCAGGGGAUGUAUCCUCAGAGAUAUUGGAGGCUAUUCAACAGCUCAAGAUGGAGAAUCAGAAACUACAGUCUACAGUUUUAGACAUGCAACAAGAUAUGAGAGGUGAUACUGUGGUUCCAUUGCACCAUAGGUCAGUGCCACCAUCACACGAUAAAGCCCCUUCGCAACCAUGGCGGCUACCUCGUGCCAACCUGCCAUACUCAGAGCAGCCAACUGAUAGUUAUAAAAUUCCGCCUCACAGUAAAUCGACAUGGGAUGUUAGUAGAGCCCCUAUACCAGACAAGGAGGAGGAUUGGCCACCCCCACCUCCACCAGUAGCUGAUGAUGUCCCACUUCCUCGAACUCCAGUGAAUAAACCACUACCUCCACCUCCAACAGCAGCCAUCCCAGACUUAGUGGAGGAAUUAACAGCAUGUUUGCGUAGACUAGGCAGGACAUCACACCCACCUUCGUGUCCAGCGACGCCUGAGUACUUUGAACCAGAUGAUGGUUCUUCAGUGGCAUCUGAUGUGCAGAGGUCACAUGACAUUGAUAGACAAUCCAAGUAUCCCCCCAUACCUCCUCAUGUCAGUAUGCAGUAUCACAAGGAGACUGCUGAGGACUUCCACAACCCUCAGCGAGAGAAAUUAUAUCGAGGUCCUAAGCCCACAAUUCCAGAUUUCACCAAAGGGGACCCACGAGAGUUUGCAAGAUUGAAGAUCUCCCUGGAUAAUAUUCUGCCUGAAGAUGCCACAGAGAGAUUUAAAUAUCAGAUCCUCUUAGAUCAUCUCAAAUUCGAGGAUGCCCUUCUGAUAGCAGACUCUUACACAAAUUCAAAGAGACCUUAUUCAGACACCAUGGCUUCCCUGGCAGAACAGUAUGGACAGCCCCACCAGUUAGCUCUACGCCAUAUUGCUGACCUCAUGGAAGGCUCAAGUAUCCGCAGUCAUGAUACAACUGGAUUUAAGAAGUUCGCACUUAAGGUCAGAGCUCUCGUGGGCAUGCUAGAUCAACUUGGUCAAAGUGGAAAUGUUGAACUCCAGUGUGGCUCACAUGUUACUAGGUUACUAUCCAAGUUACCUCAGGACCUGCGAGCUGAUUUCAAGAGGUACAUGUAUCCCCUGGGAGUCCGCAUCCCCACACUUCUGAACUUUGCAGAGUGGCUGGAAUACGAACUGACAAUUCAAGAAAGUGGUUUUGAGUUUAUUGGAGAAAGAAGGGAACGCCUUGAUCAAAGGAUGGACAGACGUAAGGACGUCAAGUCUAGUAAGACAUUUUCCAUAUUUCACAGCUCGGGCCCUUCCACCACCAAUCCACCUACAGAAGGGUCUGGUCCAAGUGCUUCUAGACCUCAAGACAAGGUAAAGGCAUACUGUCCCUAUUGCUCCAACACCCAACAUUACUUGAAUCAGUGCCAGAACUUUAGUCAGCUUACUAAAGAACAGAAGUGUUACUGGGUAAAAACAAAUAAAAAAUGUUGGCGUUGUGGUCGCACCCACCAAGCAGCACAGUGUCGUCUGAAAACAAUCUGCAAAAUCUGUAAUGGCAGGCAUCUUGAGGCACUCCACGAGCUCAAUGAUAGACCAAUUAGAGAAACCCCUCCUCUUUCGAAUCCCACCAGUGAGGUUCUCUACUUGGAUAGGCAAGCAGGCUGCAGUAAGGUACUGCUGAAAGUCAUCAAAGUGAUUUUACGUAAUGGAAAGCAUGUGCUAGAGACCUUCGCCAUUCUAGAUGAUGGCUCAGAGAGAACAAUUCUCCUUCAGGCUGCUGCUCAGAAACUGAAUCUUCACGGGAAGACAGAGAAUCUGGUACUGAGAACAGUUCGACAGGACAUGAAGGUCAUACAAGGUAAUACAGUUUCCUUCUCAAUAUCUCCUGCUUGUCAGCCUCAGAAGGUCUUUAAGAUCAACAGAGCUUUCACAGCAGAUCAGCUAGGAUUGGCAGAACAUACUUACCCUAUUAAAGUUCUACAAAGCAAGUACAGCCAUCUCAGAGGGCUGCCCAUUCCUGCCCUUGACAAAGCUCAUCCACUCUUGCUAAUUGGCUCUGACUAUCCUCAUUUAAUCACGCCAAUUGCGCCAGUGCUCUUGGGUCCUUCGGGUGGACCAGCAGCAGUGAGAACGAGGUUGGGUUGGACAAUCCAGGGUCCUGCCAAGCUUGUCCAUUAUCAGCUUCAGACUCAACAGUGCCUGAACAUUUCCAUUAUGUCUCCCUCCAAUGAACUGUUCAAAAAUGUGCAGCAACUUUGGCAACUGGAUGUAUUGCCUUACAGGAAUGAGAAGCUUAUUACUAGAUCUAAGCAAGAUCAGGAUGCAGUUAACCUGUUAGAGGCAAAGUCCAAACGGAUUGACAUCAAUGGGAUCCAGCGCUAUGCCACUCCUCUUCUCAGGGUAAAGCACAUGCCAAAACUACAAGCCACAAAGGAAGCGGUAAUGGCCAACCUCCGCAGCACAGAGAAUCGCUUGAUGAGAGACCCUCAAAAGGCAGAAGCUUAUAAUGACGAAAUUAGGAAGCUAGAACAAGCUGGCUAUGCAGUCAAAGUACAAGAGCAGAUACUGAGUGAGACUGAUGAAUCUUGGUUCAUCCCCCAUCAUAUGGUGAGUCACAACGGGAAGAACAGAGUUGUCUUUAACUGCUCAUUCUCCUACAAAGGACAAAACCUAAAUGAUCUACUCCUGCCUGGACCCAAUUUGGGGUCUUCUUUACUUGGUGUACUGCUGAGAUUCAGGGAGCACUCUGUCGCUAUCAGUAGCGACAUAAAGGGCAUGUUUCACCAAGUGAGAUUGCUGACAGAAGACAAGCCACUCCUCCGUUUCUUAUGGCGCAAUUUAGACCGAGAGAAACAACCCGAUAUCUAUGAGUGGCAAGUGCUCCCAUUCGGGACAACAUGUAGUCCGUGCUGUGCUACAUACGCUUUGCAGAGGCAUGUAUUCGACCACAGUCAACCAGGAGACCAGGUACGAGACUCUAUUGAAAGAUCCUUCUAUGUAGACAACUGUCUACAGAGCCUUUCUUCGUUGGAUGAAGCCAAAUUGCUUGUGGAUUCAUUAAGAGACCUGUUAGCUACAGGUGGAUUCGAAUUACGUCAAUGGGCAAGCAACAUUCCUGAGGUCAUUUGUCAUUUACCAAAGGAAGCCAGGUCAGAGAGCAGUGAGCUUUGGCUCAAUCAGACUGGGGAAGAUCCUCAAGAAUUUGCACUAGGGCUACGUUGGCUGUGCAAUUCAGACACUCUAAAGUAUAAGUGCCGUCUGCUAGACUGCCCGAAACCAACAAUGAGGAACAUAUACAAAGUGGUAGCAAGUCAAUAUGAUCCUCUCGGGUUCAUUGUUCCCUACACAACUAGGGCCAAAAUCCUCAUUCAGCAUCUUUGGGCAAAACACAGAGAAUGGGAUGAUCCGGUACUGCCAGAAGAUCUCCUUCGAACUUGGCACUCUUGGCAGGGGGAAUUGCAACACCUGUCCCAGAUCAACUUAACCCGCUGCUAUGCAAGUCCAAAGAUGGAUGUUCCUGACUGCACUCGACAAAUCCAUGUGUUCUGCGAUGCCUCGGAAAAGGCUUAUGGUUCUGUUGCAUAUCUACGAACAGAAAACCCAGAGGGAGGUGCUGAAGUGUCAUUUCUCUCUGCUAGAUCAAGAGUGGCUCCUAAGCGACAGCUAUCCAUGCCUAGGUUAGAACUGUGUGCGGCCCUUACAGGUGCACAGUUAGCUUCUCUUGUUAAUAGAGAGCUUACAUUAGACAUUUGUUCCUGUUUCCUCUGGACUGACUCCACCACAGUCCUAACAUGGCUACAGUCUGACUCCUGUCGCUUUAAGGUUUUUGUGGGCACACGAGUUUCUGAGAUUCAGGAACUAACCAGUGAUUACACCUGGCGUUAUGUUGAUUCUACUAAUAAUCCAGCAGACGACAUCACCCGUGGAAAAACUUUGGUAGAAUUAGCAACAGAUAAUCGGUGGAGACAAGGACCAACAUUCCUCUGGCAGCCACAGGACCACUGGCCCAUUACCCCAGGCCAAGGUAACAUUGAUAGUUGUGAACUGAGGAAAUCUAUCUGCUGCAAUCAUGUAAGUGUCGCUGAAGAUCACUCAUUCCCAGAUCCAAAUCAGUACAACAGUUUUAAAGAUUUAAUUGAAGCAGCUGUACUCUUACGCCAUGGGGUGGCUGGGAAACAGGGAAACCCAACAGCUGAUGACUACAAGUUGGCAGAAACAGAUCUCCUAAGAAAAUCUCAACAAGAUAGCUUCCCUGAAGACUUUGACUGUCUAGCAAUGGGCAGACCAGUACAAUCAUCUAGCCGUUUGAUCACCCUUGCACCUGAAUAUGACCCUGUAUUCCAACUUAUCCGAGUCGGAGGUCGACUCCGCCGCAGUGAACUGCUAGAUCCAGAUACUAUCCACCCAGUGGUUCUAGACCCAGCUCACAAAGUAACACAACUCCUCAUUCAGGAUAUGGACAACCAACUCUGUCACCCAGGUUCUGAACGAGUUUUUGCAGAGCUUCGCCGUCAAUUCUGGAUUCUUCGAGGUAGAGCAGCUGUUAAAAAACAACAACACUCUUGCUUUGAUUGCCAAAAAUGGAGAGCCAAGCCAGUUGUGCCCCUAAUGGCAGACCUACCCCAAGCUAGGCUGCAACUGUUUAAGCCUGCCUUCUUUUCUACUGGUAUGGACUGUUUUGGGCCCUUUACAGUGAAAGUAGGAAGACGCAAUGAAAAGCGUUGGGGCAUCCUUUUCAAGUGCCUCACCACUCGUGCCAUCCACAUAGACCUUCUACACAGUCUUGAUACGGACUCCUUUCUGAUGGCACUGCGUCGUUUUAUCUCUCGUAGAGGUAAGCCUUCUGAGCUACUUUCAGAUCAAGGCACUAAUUUCAAAGGUGGGGACAGAGAACUCCAGGAAGCCUUUAAAGCUUUGAAUCCUUUGUUGCAAGCACAACUGGCAAAAGAACAAAUUCAGUUUAAAUUCAACCCCCCCAGUAGUCCACACUUCGGAGGAGCUUGGGAACGAGAAAUAAGAUCCAUCAAGUCUGCACUAUAUGCCACUUUGCAAAGUCAAAGCAUGACCGAGGAGGUAUUAAGGACAGUGCUGAUAGAAGUGGAAGGAAUCUUAAACUCCAAACCUCUGGGUUAUGCAUCAUCUGAUGUUGCAGACCCCAAUCCCGUCACACCCAAUCUUCUCCUCAUGGGGCGGCUCGAUCCAUCGCUCCCCCAGGCUGUCUACCAUGAAUCAGAACUUUUAAGUCGUCGCAGAUGGAGGCACACACAAGUCCUUGCGGAUCACUUUUGGAGACAAUUCAUCAAGUAUUACCUUCCUAACCUACAGACCCGUUCCAAGUGGCAAAAGGACACUGAUAAUUUACAGCCUGGCAUGAUCGUGAUGAUCCUAGACCCUCAAAUACCCAGAGCUGUCUGGCCAGUAGGACAGAUCAUCAAUGUCUUUCCUGGAGCUGACGGACGGAUUAGGACAGCAGAGGUGAAAAUAAAAGACAAAGUAUACACCAGACCAGUAGCUCGUCUUAUUAAAUUACCAUCCAUCCAUAACACUGAUAAAGCGGAGAAAAGUCCUUCUACAUAAAGACGAAUUUGACUGUGCAAAUUCGGGGGCGGCUGUUGUAAAGGACUGUGAUAACAAACAAUGGACAGUGAAUGCUAUUGGUGGGCUUUUUAAUUGACAGUUGAAACUACGAAUCAGUACAGCUUUAGCGUCAUCGGAAAGUAGUUCCGCCAAAGGAUAUAGAAGUGUGUUGCAUCAGAAAGUUUAGUGCGGAGCUAAUGAGUGUUCUCCAAAAGUUUAUUUCAAGUGUGUGCGUGCAGCUAGAAAACCACACAUACCCAUCUACAGUGGAGAAUAAAAAUUAAAGAAGAAACAUCAGAGUCAUUGCAUUCUAACCGAAUGUGCCAUAGUGAUUGCAAACCUUUACUAACCAGCCCCAAAUAAAUACCUCAAAACAAUAAGUUUAUACACAAUAAAAUAAUAAUUAUCAUUUUUCUG
Carassius gibelio (silver crucian carp) is the source of this 7525-nucleotide RNA transcript. It is a transcript of the gene named aquaporin-10, with no coding region annotated. The record is from RefSeq and is a predicted model, not a curated record. Lineage: Eukaryota; Metazoa; Chordata; Actinopteri; Cypriniformes; Cyprinidae. The transcript is spliced from 3 exons.